UACGUAGGGACCAAGCGUUGUCCGGAAUCAUUGGGCGUAAAGCGCGUGUAGGCGGCUUGGUAAGUCCGCUCUGAAAGCCCGGGGCUCAACCCCGGGAGGCGGGUGGAUACUGUCAAGCUCGAGUCCGGAAGAGGCGAGUGGAAUUCCUGGUGUAGCGGUGAAAUGCGCAGAUAUCAGGAGGAACACCAAUGGCGAAGGCAGCUCGCUGGGACGUGACUGACGCUGAGACGCGAAAGCGUGGGGAGCAAACAGG
This 253-nucleotide ribosomal RNA is filed under the name uncultured bacterium. Its description in RNAcentral is "partial 16S ribosomal RNA". It matches the Rfam family "Bacterial small subunit ribosomal RNA", at positions 524 to 776 of the family's 1533-position model. The record is from RNAcentral.